CAACAUUUUCUUGUGACUUCUCGUUCUCUUUCUAAAGAUCGUCUUCUAUCAAUGGCGGCGGCAGCCACCGUGCCGGAGAAUCUCACAAGAGAGCAGUAUGUGUACAUGGCGAAGCUUGCGGAACAAGCCGAACGCUACGAAGAGAUGGUGAAAUUUAUGGAAAAACUCGUCGUCGGGACAACGCCGGCGGCUGAGCUCACCGUUGAGGAGCGUAACCUCCUGUCCGUCGCCUACAAGAACGUCAUCGGCUCUCUUCGAGCGGCUUGGCGUAUCGUAUCAUCGAUCGAACAAAAGGAGGAGUCUCGAAAGAACGAAGAUCACGUCAUGCUGGUCAAGGAUUACAGAUCUAAGGUCGAGGACGAGCUCUCCGAUGUUUGCUCGGGAAUAUUGAAGAUUUUGGAAUCGAAUCUGGUGCCAUCGGCAUCUACUGGUGAAUCAAAGGUGUUCUAUUUGAAGAUGAAAGGAGAUUAUCAUAGGUAUUUAGCCGAGUUUAAAGGUGGAGACGAGCGAAAGGAAGCAGCAGAGGCUACUAUGAAUUCCUACAAAGCUGCUCAGGACAUUGCGGUGGGAGAUCUGGCUCCAACACAUCCAAUAAGAUUGGGUCUGGCACUUAAUUUCUCAGUGUUUUACUAUGAGAUUCUGAAUUCAUCAGACAAGGCUUGUAGCAUGGCAAAACAGGCAUUUGAGGAAGCUAUAGCAGAACUGGACACUCUGGGUGAAGACUCAUACAAGGAUAGCACUCUGAUUAUGCAACUAUUGAGGGACAAUCUCACUCUUUGGACUUCAGAUGCGCAGGACCAGUUGGAUGAGGCAUAGAGGUAGAGUAUAUGCUGUGCUAAGACCAACAAGUUUUAAGACAAUCUUGUGAAGGAGGUUCAACAUUCAUCUUCCUCCCCCCUUUCUACAUAUACACACACACUUGAAAUAAAGGUUAGAAUAUCAAGUAGGAUUGAACAGGAAAAGUAGAAGCAAAAUAGAUCAACAAUUUGGCUGUUGGAAUCUAAUGAAGUAUAUACUAUACCUUUGUAGUUUUUAGAAAAUCUCAAGCCAAACCAACCUAGUAGGGUCAUGGAAUAGAAGGUGCAUAUACAUGUCCUGAUACCCUAAAAAUAGAGUAUAAAGACCCUUAGUUUAUAUAUAUAUAUGUGUGUGUGUGUGUGUGUGACUUGGUAUUGAAUUUAUAACAGGUAAAAUAAGUUGAACCAAUGGUUUUGUAUAAAAGCACAUUUAUAUA
This is an RNA transcript of Cynara cardunculus var. scolymus (artichoke), 1234 nucleotides long. It is a transcript of the gene named 14-3-3-like protein GF14 kappa, with no coding region annotated. NCBI's taxonomy places the organism in Eukaryota, Viridiplantae, Streptophyta, Magnoliopsida, Asterales, Asteraceae. The transcript has 5 exons. The record is from RefSeq and is a predicted model, not a curated record.